ACCAGACUCCUACGGGAGGCAGCAGUAGGGAAUAUUGCACAAUGGGGGAAACCCUGAUGCAGCGACGCCGCGUGAGUGAAGAAGUAUUUCGGUAUGUAAAGCUCUAUCAGCAGGGAAGAAAAUGACGGUACCUGAUUAAGAAGCCCCGGCUAACUACGUGCCAGCAGCCGCGGUAAUACGUAGGGGGCAAGCGUUAUCCGGAUUUACUGGGUGUAAAGGGAGCGUAGACGGUGAUGCAAGUCAGAAGUGAAAGCCCGGGGCUCAACUCCGGGACUGCUUUUGAAACUGUGUAACUGGAGUGCAGGAGAGGUAAGCGGAAUUCCUGGUGUAGCGGUGAAAUGCGUAGAUAUCAGGAGGAACACCAGUGGCGAAGGCGGCUUACUGGACUGUAACUGACGUUGAGGCUCGAAAGCGUGGGGAGCAAACAGGAUUAGAUACCCGAGUA
Molecule: ribosomal RNA, 445 nt
Filed under: uncultured bacterium
Lineage: Bacteria
Description: bacterial SSU rRNA
Rfam family: Bacterial small subunit ribosomal RNA
Source: RNAcentral